AUCAGGCAUGCCAUGCCUUUAGUCCCAGCUACCUGGGAGGCUGAGACAGGAGGAUCUCUUGAGCCCAGGAGGUCAGGGCUGUCCUGCACUAUGCAGACCAGGUGUCUACUCUAAGUUUCAUGAGUGUGAUUUUACUUAUGAAUAGUCACUGUACUCCAGCUGGGGUAAUAUAGGUGACCCUGUAUCUU
RNAcentral lists this small RNA (188 nucleotides) under Marmota monax (woodchuck). Lineage: Eukaryota; Metazoa; Chordata; Mammalia; Rodentia; Sciuridae. The record is from RNAcentral.